CUCCCUUUCGCUGUCUCUCAGGUUUGGUACCGAGUGCCACCCGUGAUCUAAGUCACAAAAAAACUAGCCUGUUGGGGGCUUGCUGUUCUUAAUUUCUGGGGCAGCCACGUAAAGAGGGACGGGGGAGAGACGCAGGUUUUUUUCCCUCUCCCCGCCUUACCACUGCCCCUUUGCCCCUUUCUCCCCGCACCCUCCGACUGGCACCCCCACCUCGCGGGGCGGAUGGGACGCUUUGGCGCGCGUCACUCCGCGCUGGCGUGGACGAGCCAGUGCGCGGUGCCAGGCAGGCGCCGGCCGGACGUCGGGGGCUCCUUCUCCCCGCGAGCUGAGGGCCCUGGGCUCGGCUGGGAUCCAGCCCGCGCCAGACCGAGACUCGAAGGAGGCGAGCCCAGGUGUGAGAGCGGAGGGAAAGAUCCAGGUAUAAUAUUUAAAUGGCGGUCAUAGAAAAGGAGUUUUAGUUUGGAGGCACACAAUAAAAAUAACAUCUAAAAAACAACAACAACAAAACCCCCACAUCUAAAUGCAAUAAAACUGUACCAACGGGUUUGAAGAAGUUAAACUAGAGAUUGGUAUGGGACCUUGUCUGUAGCAAUUGAGCGGGAAGAACGCUACUUUCAGAAACACAGAUCUAGGACCAAAUAAUGCUAUAGUAGUGGAUUAGCUCUCCAUCUUUGCAAAUGCUUACUGAGUCCUUAGUCUCCAGCUCAUGCAACAGAGUUAUCAACUAUCAAUAUCAUCAUGACUGUUUUAAUUAUUUAAUGGAACCCACUGAAGUUGAUGAUGAGCUACCAAGAAAUUUCAGGAACACAGACAUGUCAGUCAGUGUGCCAUUUCUCCUGAAUCUUUUGUACCUAUACGUAUCUAAGAACCCAUUGUAAAAUGCAAAGCACAAAAAUAAAUACAAAUAAAGUUAGGGGA
Molecule: long non-coding RNA, 918 nt
Organism: Heterocephalus glaber (naked mole-rat)
Lineage: Eukaryota; Metazoa; Chordata; Mammalia; Rodentia; Bathyergidae
Source: Ensembl